CUCAGGAUGAACGUUGGCGGCGUGCCUAAUUACAUGCAAGUCGAACGAAGAGUUUAGAGUAGCAAUACUUUGAUCCUCUUAGUGGCGAACGGGUGAGUAACGCGUUGGUGACCUACCCCAAAGAUAGGGAUAACAGUUCGAAAGGACUGCUAAUACCUAAUGUUAUCAUUUGGCUUAGAAGCCUUUUGAUUAAAGGAGCUUGCUCCACUUUGGGAGGGGCCUGCGUACCAUCAGCUAGUUGGUAGGGUAAUGGCCUACCAAGGCUAUGACGGUUAGGGGACCUGAGAGGGUGGCCCCCCACAAUGGAACUGAAACACGGUCCAUACACCUACGGGUGGCAGCAGUAGGGAAUAUUGGUAAUGUGCGAAAGCGCGAACCAGCAACGCCGCGUGUGCGAAGAAGGCCUUCGGGUUGUAAAGCACUUUUCGGGAGGAAGAGGAAGGACUGUACUCCCGGAAUAAGUCUCGGCUAACUACGUGCCAGCAGCCGCGGUAAUACGUAGGAGGCGAACGUUAUCCGGAUUUAUUGGGCGUAAAGCGCGUGUAGGCGGUUUGAUAAGUUGGACGUGAAAGCUCCUGGCUCAACUAGGAGAGGUCGUUCAAUACUGUUAGACUUGAGGACGGUAGAGGGAGGUGGAAUUCCAGGUGUAGUGGUGAAAUGCGCAGAUAUCUGGAGGAACACCAGUGGCGAAGGCGGCCUCCUGGACCGUUCCUGACGCUCAGACGCGAAAGCUAGGGUAGCAAACGGGAUUAGAGACCCCGGUAGUCCUAGCUGUAAACGAUGUGAACUUGGCGUCGGUGGGAUUAAAUCCAUCGGUGUCGAAGCUAACGCGAUAA
Molecule: ribosomal RNA, 836 nt
Filed under: uncultured bacterium
Lineage: Bacteria
Description: bacterial SSU rRNA
Rfam family: Bacterial small subunit ribosomal RNA
Source: RNAcentral